RNAcentral lists this ribosomal RNA (513 nucleotides) under uncultured bacterium. Its description in RNAcentral is "partial 16S ribosomal RNA". It matches the Rfam family "Bacterial small subunit ribosomal RNA", at positions 30 to 523 of the family's 1533-position model. The record is from RNAcentral.
AUUGAACGCUGGCGGCAUGCCUAACACAUGCAAGUCGAACGGCAGCACAGUAAAGACUUCGGUCUUUAUGGGUGGCGAGUGGCGGACGGGUGAGUAACGCGUAGGAAUCUGUCCUGGAGAGUGGGAUAACCCGAGGAAACUCGGGCUAAUACCGCAUGAUAUCGAGAGAGCAAAAGCAGGGGACCCUUCGGGGCCUUGCGCUCUAGGAUGAGCCUACGUCGGAUUAGCUAGUUGGUGGGGUAAAGGCCUACCAAGGCGACGAUCCGUAGCUGGUCUGAGGGGAUGACCAGCCACACUGGGACUGAGACACGGCCCAGACUCCUACGGGAGGCAGCAGUGGGGAAUCUUGGACAAUGGGGGAAACCCUGAUCCAGCGAUGCCGCGUGUGUGAAGAAGGCCUUCGGGUUGUAAAGCACUUUAGUUGGGGAAGAAAAGUAAUGAGUGAAUAACUGAUUGCUCUGACGGUACCCAAAGAAUAAGCACCGGCUAACUCUGUGCCAGCAGCCGCCGUAA